UGCCUUGAAGAUCGGAGUGCUUGCACUCUGUGAAACAAGAUACAGGCUAGCGGCGGACGGGUGAGUAACACGUGGGUAACCUGCCCAAGAGAUCGGGAUAACACCUGGAAACAGAUGCUAAUACCGGAUAACAACAGAUGAUGCCUAUCAGCUGUUUAAAAGAUGGUUCUGCUAUCACUCUUGGAUGGACCUGCGGUGCAUUAGCUAGUUGGUAGGGUAACGGCCUACCAAGGCGAUGAUGCAUAGUCGAGUUGAGAGACUGAUCGGCCACAUUGGGACUGAGACACGGCCCAAACUCCUACGGGAGGCAGCAGUAGGGAAUCUUCCACAAUGGACGCAAGUCUGAUGGAGCAACGCCGCGUGAGUGAAGAAGGGUUUCGGCUCGUAAAGCUCUGUUGUUGGUGAAGAAGGACAGGGGUAGUAACUGACCUUUGUUUGACGGUAAU
This 446-nucleotide ribosomal RNA is filed under the name uncultured Lactobacillus sp. RNAcentral describes it as "bacterial SSU rRNA". It matches the Rfam family "Bacterial small subunit ribosomal RNA", at positions 56 to 479 of the family's 1533-position model. Lineage: Bacteria; Bacillati; Bacillota; Bacilli; Lactobacillales; Lactobacillaceae. The record is from RNAcentral.